GAAAGUAAGGGUGCAAACGAAGAUGAAAAUUACUACUAUACUAUGGUGGAGUGUCCGUUCAGGAAUAUCCUCAGAAACAAUUGCCAACCAAAAGUGACCGUGAAAAUACUAAAUUAUCGGAGGCCCUUCCACUGUUAUAGUUGAAGUACUCCAGCCAUUUAGCGUCUUCUCCAACGCAUUAAACACCAAAACGGACGAAAAAUGCAAUUUUGAAGUGAUAUAUCUAAAAUUGUUUUGGCAGGUACACUGGAAGAGGUCAGUAAUGAAAGUUAGUACCAGAGUGUGCGACACAGCUUCAUCUAUAAGAGCUUUCCGUCUGCUGGCAGAUAAAGUUGCCACGUCCAAUUCGAAGGAUGAGGUUUACAAAAUCUUUAAUGUACUUGCCGGAGAUCUAAACAUCACAACUGUAAAACACCUUCUUCCAGAUGACAUGACAGACCUAGAGAAUGAUAACUGGAAAAAGCUGCACAAUUGGAAAAGGUGGUGGACAAGGGAGGAGCACUUGAAAAUGUUCACAACUGCUUUUACAGAGAUGGAGGCCUGUAACUGGUCAGCGUGUCCUGACACAACAAAUCCUGUCGAACAUAUCAAUAAAGAUUCAAUUCCAGCAAAGGAGUAUAAGAACAUCUAUCGAUGUGACAAGCUUGCUGCAGCCAAAAGGUUGGCUGUUUUAAGUAAUGUCACGAUCAGCUAAGCAAGCAAGCAAGAGGACAGUAGGCAAGAAAGAGCAGCAAGAAAAAGGAAGUGGAGGAGGAGCUUGGGGAAACUCGGGGAUCAUGAUGAUCAUAACGUUGGUGGACCCCCUGACAAACUUCCCCGACAGAUAGAUAACACCCAAAAGAGACAGACGAGAAAGUCGCAGAG
RNAcentral lists this unclassified non-coding RNA (864 nucleotides) under Orbicella faveolata. Its description in RNAcentral is "uncharacterized LOC110045425, transcript variant X2". The record is from RNAcentral. Lineage: Eukaryota; Metazoa; Cnidaria; Anthozoa; Scleractinia; Merulinidae.